Long non-coding RNA from Loxodonta africana (African savanna elephant), 1231 nucleotides. RefSeq lists it as uncharacterized. Lineage: Eukaryota; Metazoa; Chordata; Mammalia; Proboscidea; Elephantidae. The record is from RefSeq and is a predicted model, not a curated record. The transcript has 4 exons.
UAAUAUUGUAGUAAUUUGUGGGAGGAUUUACAAUCUUUUCUGAAAGGAGAAAACAACAAAUCCAUAUAAAAUUACAUUUUUUAAACAUUUUGAUACAUUUUUCUUUUAUCGUCAUCAGAAGUACAGUAAAACUUGUGAAAGCUGGAACCUACCUGUGUAAGACGGAAACUUAUCAGAGAAGGAAAACUCAAAUAUUUUCCACUAAAAGGAGAGAGAGAAAAGUAGUAAGACUGUACCUUGUCAAAGGUGGAAAGCUUUCAAGACCCAGAAAAAUAGGGCAGUCUGGUGGAGUUCUGGCUUUCACAGAACUGUCACUGUAUAUGUGACAGAGGAAAUGAAUUAGCCCUACUGGGGAAUGAGUAAGGUUAACAGUACAGAGAGAUUAUAGAACUGGAUCAAAAUCAUCCCUGUGAAUCUGCAGAUGAGGAAACUGGGGCUGGGCUUCAGGACUCUCCUAAGACCAAGCAGUGAGGAAGCAAGGCAGUGUCCAACCAGGACCAGAAGGAGGUUCUUCCCAGGUCUUUGCUAGUCCCUCCUACAGUCAGUUCCAAUUCUCCAAAGCAAAGCAAAAGCCCAGUUGACAACUGCACCUCCCUCCCUUCAUCCUGGUACAAUUCUCAGAAUCAAGUCUCUUCAGGGUGCAGAGCCACUUGGUCUUUGCAGCUAAGUGUACAGGAGAUGCCAAUACAGUCUCACGUGUACACCUGAUACAAGUAGCUCACUCUUCAUCAGCAUCUCUUUCCAGCCCAUUGUCCAGUCCCUUCCAUGUCUGAUGGGUUGAGACCAACUGAUGCAUCUUAGAUGGCCGCUUGUUAGCAUUUAAGAACCCAGACGCCACACUUCAAAGUGGGAUGCAGAAUGCUGAAAACACUUUUUAAGUCAUGUUAAGGCAGAAUGGUAUUUAGAAACUCUAUUCUCUACAUUUCACUUGCAACGAACAGAAAGAGACUGGGAUGGAGCCAAAAAGUAGUCACUGUGGAAGGAAAGGAGCCAAGGAAAACAAAAGAAAUGUAAAUAAUCUUUUGCUUUUUCUGCUGGGUGCAAAGACCGUUUGGGUUCAGCUCAUCUGCUCAUUUAAGAGAGGAAGUUGGCAGAAUCCUGGGCUAGCAUCUUCCCUUCUGUGAAAAGGUUUACUUUCCCUUCUAUUUCAUCCUCAUUACUGGAGACUUGAGGUAUUUUUUCAAGGCCACUUUAGUAUAAAUAAAUGUGUAAAAUUUCAAUCUGUCUCCAU